CCCGGGGCGGGGUGCCGUCUGGGUGCGGCCCCAAGGCCUGGGGAGGGUGCGCGCGUCCAGUUCAGUUGUGUUAAGCGGCUGCUAAGCCGGAGGCUGGGCGCAGGACGUUCAUUCCUUUAUUCAUUCAUUCGUGGCCGCAGCAGCCUUCCCACACCCCGCAGAGCAGGGCGACCUCGGAGCCUUCCAGCCCUGCCCCGGACGCGCCCAGGGCCUUCGCACGGAUCGCUGGCCCUGUGAGGGCCUCAGCUUCUUUAUCUUCACCUCCAUUUGACAGACGAGGAAGCUGCGGCUCGGAGAAGCCUGCCUGUUUGAGCCAAGAGUAAAUGGGAUGCGGAGGGAGGAACCGGUAUCGCGGGAUGAGAAAGGCUUCGGAGACUGCAGGGAGCCGCCAGCCCCGGGGCGGCGUCCUCGGCCCUCGGCGGAAGAGGGGGCCCAGCUGGGUCCCGGUUCUAGCAGCGGCCUCCUCUGCGGAUCCAGCUGGGACCUGGGAGGGGGGCGUGGAGGUACAGGCCCGGCCGCCGCCGCGCGCCCUAGCUGGUGUGAGCUAAUUGGACGGUGCUGAUAAAGGCUGGGCCGCCCCGGGCCCUCGGCCUCCGAUAACAUCGUGGUGUUCGCAGGUGCUGACAUCCCUGCUGGCUCCGGCAGGCUGGCUAGCGCCGCGUUACCAAAUCGCAGUAAUUGAGAUUAAUUUGGGGGCCAAUUGGGUCAGCCCUCGCAGGCACCCAUUAAUUAGUGGGGGAGCUGGAGCCGCUGGGGGGGCGGUGCAGAGAGCCCGGGCUGGGUAGGAGUCCCCGGGCACUCGCCGGCCUGAGCCCCCUCCGCCUCGUACCCCCUCUGGCCACCCCGUGCCGAGCGCCUCCGCCCAGCCCAGGACGGAGGGGGACCUUUGGGUCCCCAGGGUUAAAGGGCUCAUUACCAGGGUGGGGGAGGGGCUUUGGACAUCAAACAGCUCUUGCAAAACUUCCAGAUGAGUUAAGUGCAAAUGAAUUUGGAGCAGACAAUGAGGUUCCCUUUAGAGACACCUGGGCAGAAAAAUGAAGGGAAAAGUGCCCCAGGGAGAGCUCAUUUGGGUUUUUUUUUUUUUUCCUCCUGAACCCAAAACACACAGGGAAAAACAAACCCACCCGUCUAUACCAGGUGCCAGAGGCGGGCAGGCGUACCCUGACGCAGUGCUGUGCUGGCUGCAUGCGGGGUACACACACGGAGCCGAGGGCAGCGGCUCGGACGAGUGCGCAGAGGCAGAAGUGCUGGGCACGCAUGUGUGGAGGUGUCCCGGGCCUGGAUGGCACUGGGAUGGAGCGAGAGAGGGUGAGGGCAGGGCUGAGGUGAGGGGGCCAGGGGCUGCCCCUGGCACCUCCUGGCUACUCCCGCGCUCCGGGCCCAGGGUGGCCCAGGCACUGGCCGAGCAGCUGAGGUGUCUGUGGGGGACCAGGGCUCUGCAUGCCCCACCUGCUGCCUGACUUGCUCUGGCUAAUUGCCCAGGUGUUGUGUUUUCCCCUUGAAUCUCAGAGGGACAAAAGCGGGUUGAGUCACCGGGAACCGGCCCCGCUUCCACCCACUCUGGAGCCCUGCCUUGCCCCACCCAGGGGAUCUGAGGACCCAGAGGUGCAGGCGGCUGGGGCCUGGCCCGGGUUGACCUCAGGGAGCCGGGGACCCUGCUGUGCCUUCCAGGUGUCCCCACUGAUGGCCAGCACCCCAAUGGCCCAGGGUGUGUGACCUCCUUGAGGGCCCUAAUGGAACUGCCUCAUCUCUACAGCGCAUUUGCAAUUCAUGGCUCCAGCUGAGAUUGCAUUAGGGCCUGGCUGUCACUUGUGAUGAAUGUCGCUUGUUUUCCAGAAAAAAGCGGGCCCUGGAUGCAGAGUGACAGAGCCUCAGGAGGCAGCUGCCCUACCCUGGCCUAAAGACCAGGGCAUGGCUGGUCUCCCCAGUGGUCUCGGGACUGCUUCUCCCGGGGCUCUCAGGGGCCCUGCAGGUCACCAUGCUUUCUGGAUUCCCUGUCCCGCAGUGUUCCCCCAGCAGCCCUGCAGGGGCCUCUGCCUGAGUGGCCCCACUGGACAGAUGGGCAAACUGAGUUUGUGAGAAGAGAGAAGGUAGAUGAAAGUGCGUGAACUGCAGGCAACCUGGGGCGAGGACCCAGCAUUUGGAGGCAACAAAAAGUCCUGCAAGGAGUCCUGGAGAUGAUCAGGAAGGUCAGCUGACAGAGAGGAAGAGGAAUCCCGUGUCUGCCCCAGGGCUCCCCAUGGCUUGCCUGGGCUUGCCUCUGCUUGCCCUUUCUCCCUGACAUAUCUGACACCCUGGCUCUGAUGGGGACAGAAAGAGGGAAUUCCCACCCAUAACCAGGCCAGAGGACAGAUGGCCGGGUGUGGGAAUUACCUGCAGUCUCAGCUGCGGCCCUCUUUCAUGUCCCCUGCUCUCUGCUUCUCGGAGUCAGUGUUCCCCAGGCCUUUUGCAACUGUGAAGCCUGGACAAGCCUCCUUGGUUCCCUGCUCUCUCUCAAGAACUUACACUGGCUCCCACUUUGCCACCAGUUUCCCAAAUUGUAUUCCAUUUUUAUCCCUGCUCCUGUCCUUAACAUUUGGGAGGCACAGCCUGGCAGAGCAGCAGCCAGACAAAAAUAAUUCCACCCAUGGGUGACUUCUAGGCCCAUUCAUUGGGGAAAGAACAACGGCUCACCUGGGGGCAGCUUUGAUCUUGUGCCCUCUCAUCUCUGUAACUUGACACAAUUCGGGCAGAAGUAGGUGACUAGAUCAUGCGAAUGCCCUGGUCACAGAUGAGGAAAUUGAGGCUGGGGGCUCAUGGCAAGAGGUAGGGAAGGGCAGGGAUGUACCCUAUACAGGUGCAAAUUCUCUAUGAUGAUGAGCCAUAUAUCAUUAUGUAUGCCUAAAAUGUACCAGUACAUGUUGUGCUAUUAAAAAAAAAAAAGGUAGGGGCCCUGUGUCCCCUCCUGCCAGAA
Non-coding RNA from Heterocephalus glaber (naked mole-rat), 2953 nucleotides. The record is from RefSeq and is a predicted model, not a curated record. NCBI's taxonomy places the organism in Eukaryota, Metazoa, Chordata, Mammalia, Rodentia, Bathyergidae.